GCGUAGGGAGCGAGCGUUGUCCGGAUUUACUGGGCGUAAAGGGCGCGUAGGCGGUCUGUUAAGCGUGAAGUGAAAUCUCCAGGGCUCAACCCGGAAACUGCUUUGCGAACUGGCAGACUAGAGGAAGGUAGAGGUGAAUGGAAUUCCCGGUGUAGCGGUGACAUGCAUUGAUAUCGGGAGGAACAUCAGUGGCGAAGGCGGCCUUCUGGACCAGUACUGACGCUGAGGUGCGAAAGCGUGGGGAGCAAACAGGA
RNAcentral lists this ribosomal RNA (254 nucleotides) under uncultured prokaryote. RNAcentral's name for it is "partial 16S ribosomal RNA". It matches the Rfam family "Bacterial small subunit ribosomal RNA", at positions 525 to 777 of the family's 1533-position model. The record is from RNAcentral.